CAAUAGCGUAUAUUAAAGUUGUUGCAGUUAAAAAGCUCGUAGUUGGAUUUCUGGUUGAAGCGACCGGUCGGGCGUUGAUUCGUCUGCACUGGAGUCGGUUUUGGCCAUCCUCUAGGAAAGUGCGUCUGGUAUUAAGUUGUCGGGCGUAUGAUCCUGGUCUUUUACUGUGAAAAAUUAGAGUGUUUAAAGCAGGCCUUCGCCUUGAAUACAUUAGCAUGGAAUAAUAAGAUAGGACUUUGGUCUAUUUUGUUUGGUUUGUCAGACCGAAGUAAUGAUUAAUAGGGAUAGUUGGGGGCGAUUCGUAUUUAACUGUCAGAGGUGGAAAUUCUUGGAUUUGUUUAAAGAACGGACUACUGCGAAAGACAUUUGUCCAAGGAUGUUUUCUAUUGAUCAAGAACGAAAGUUAGGGGAUCGAAGACGAUUAGAUACCAU
RNAcentral lists this ribosomal RNA (432 nucleotides) under uncultured eukaryote. Its description in RNAcentral is "bacterial SSU rRNA". It matches the Rfam family "Eukaryotic small subunit ribosomal RNA", at positions 592 to 1018 of the family's 1831-position model. The record is from RNAcentral.